Molecule: ribosomal RNA, 253 nt
Filed under: uncultured bacterium
Lineage: Bacteria
Description: partial 16S ribosomal RNA
Rfam family: Bacterial small subunit ribosomal RNA
Source: RNAcentral
UACAGAGACCUCAAGCGUUAUCCGGAUUUAUUGGGCGUAAAGGGUCCGCAGGUGGCUAUUUAAGUCAUGCGUCAAAUCUCUGGGCUCAACCCAGAAACUGCGUGUGAUACUGGAUAGCUAGAGGCUGGGAGAGGUGCACGGAAUUACUGGUGUAGCGGUAAAAUGCGUUAAUAUCAGUAAGAACACCAAAGGCGAAGGCAGUGCACUGGAACAGUCCUGACACUCAGGGACGAAAGCGUGGGGAGCGAAAGGG